GAUCCCAUUGACGCCAAUGGAACCUACUCGCUAGUAGAUGGUUUUCUCGAAGAUGAAUCUUGUUUUGUCCAGAAUCGCUCUUACAGCGGUUAUAAAUACAAAAUCCCAUUGCAUAUAGGAUUAACAACUGAUCGCAGUUUGAAAAGGAUGUGUACCUUGGGUGGGUUCCAAAUUUUUUACUACCGGUUCUGUGGGUGUGGCUUAUUUUGUGGGUGUGGCUUCUUGCUCAUGUGGCUGGGUGGGCGUGCUAUUUAUUUAUUUAUUUAAGGCAACGCCAUCCAACCAGGUUUUAGCUUAGCAUCGGAUGGAAACCAUUCGUUAGCUUUUUGGGCAACAUGCGAUCUGGCUAGGAGGAAAAGCAGGAAGUAAAAAUAGAGGAUACGACCAUAUUUUGUAAAGGGGGGUAUUAGCAAAAAUAUGGUGACAGCAACUAUGGAAUAAAACAGGAGGCAGUGAUAUCUCCAAUGUCAAUUUUCUCAUGAAAUCUACUCCCUAUAUUAGCGAAGAAAUUGUGUAGUAAAGCUUGAUAAAAUAGCUAACGACGAUUUGGAUAUCAACUUGCUCCCCCCGUUUGAAGAAUAGAGUGUGCCGGAUAGUGGUGUCAAGCGCAGCUGGAAAGGCGGGGGAAUUUCAGAUCCGUUGCGCUAUGAAGUCGGAUAAAACAUGGAGUUUUGCGGAGUUAUUGAGCCUAAUCCUAAUGAAAGCGAUUGUGGGGUCUGUCCAUAUAAACGUGGAUCUCUCACGCCCUACAGGCGAGUUGAGGCAUUUUUGGAAGAGCACGGGAUAUUGUCCUCCUCUACCACACAGCCGAGCAGAUUUGUUUAAUCUCAGUAAAGACCAAAUAAUUAAUUUGGCUUAUAUUUCAUCUGUGCCACAAAAUGGUAUUGAACAAAUUCGAAUCCAUUGGCUGCUGGAACUUAUUCAAGCUGAAAUGAUAAAUGGGACACUUCACUACAAUUUCACAAACCUGGAUAACUUUAUGCAUCUUCUUUGGGAAAACAAGCUACGUCCUGGUUUUGAAUUGAUGGGAAGUCCUUCAGGAUACUUCACUGACUUUGAUGAUAAAAAGCAAGUGGUAGAAUGGAAAAACCUGAUUUUACAAUUGGCCAAAAGAUAUAUAGAGAGGUACGGAGUGAAACAUGUUUCUAAGUGGAAUUUUGAGACCUGGAAUGAACCAGAUCACCAUGACUUUGACAAUGUAUCAAUAACUGUGAAUGGAUUUCUCAACUACUAUGAUGCUUGUUCUGAAGGAUUAAGGGAAGCUAGUUGUCAGCUAAAAUUGGGAGGCCCAGGAGAUUCCUUUCAUCCAUUUCCAAAGUCUCCCAUUUGCUGGAACCUCCUUGGUCAUUGCUACAAUGGCACAAAUUUUUUCACUGGAGAGACAGGGGUCCGGCUAGACUACAUCGCCAUGCAUAAAAAGGGAGCUGGGAGUUCUCUUCAUAUCUUGGAACAGGAAACUGAGGCCAUGGGACAGAUCCAGAAGAUGUUUCCCAAUUUUGCCUCGGUCCCUAUAUACAACGAUGAGGCUGACCCUCUAGUAGGAUGGUCGAUUCCACAGCAGUGGAGAGCGGAUGUGACCUAUGCAGCUAUGGUGGUAAAGGUAAUUGCUCAGCAUCAAAAUCUUCUGAUCGCUAAACCCAACAACACCAUCAACUACACUUUGCUAAGCAAUGACAAUGCGUUUCUGAGUUACCAUCCCUAUUACUUCACCCAGAGGACCCUUACGGCACGCUUUCAGAUGAAUAACACAAAGCCCCCCCACAUCCAGAUGGUGAGGAAGCCGGUGCUGACAGUAAUGGGCUUGCUGGCUUUGCUAGGAGAAGAGCAAGUUUCUGCCAACAUUUCCAGUCACAAAUCAGAAGACUACAACACUUUGGGACUAUUAGCCAGCUUGCAUAAACCUUCAGGACUACAAUUGUCGGACAGCUGGCAAGCAUCAAUACUGAUCUAUUCAAGCAAUGAUAACAAGACAUCCUCAAACACCAGUACUGUGAUUCUAAAGAUAGCCAAUUAUCCUAGACACAAAGACCUCGUAUACGUCACUUACUACAUGGAUAACAGCCUAACCAAUCCAUAUUUGCAAUGGAAGAAAACGGGAAUGCCGGAUUUUCCUUCUCAGAUGCAAUUGGAGCAAAUAAGAGAUGCUGAGGAUCCUGUGGUGAAAGGACCAUUUCCAGUACCUGCAAAAGACCAUUUAGUGCUGAAGCAAGAACUUCCAAUUCCAGCUGUUUUCCUCCUCCAUAUUUGUGCAAAGCCCCUCUCUGCUCCCAACCAGGUGAAUGGUGUUCGUUUCAUUGGUCUCAUGAAAGGACAAGUUCUGAUAACGUGGGAUGACAGCUGUGUGAAUUCAAAAUGUUUGAAAAAAUUUGAAGUGAUGUUUUCAGUCGAUGGGAAUGAGUAUCACCAAAUCAGUGUCAAGGACAGUAUAUUUACGAUGUUAAUCUACAGCCCAGGAACAACACUCGUGGGCUAUUACAAAAUCCGUGCUGUGGAUUACUGGGACAGGCCAGGCCCAUUUUCUGUGCCUAUGUUCUAUAGAGAACCAUCUUAAAAAGAAGCAAAAAUGUUCAUCAGAAGUUAUAUAGGUUGGCAUCUCAGAAGUUAUAUAUGGAUGGUUAAAACUGCAAGUUGCAGCAUCAGGAAGGAAGUAGAAGGAAGCCUCCUUCCAAAGAGUGGAAGGCAGCAGAACCAAGAACAGCUCAGCUUGAAUACUUGUAUAAGAAGAAACAUCCCUGUGAAGCUUGUUUUAAACAAGGAUAAAUUUAGCACAGGGAUUGUAUUUUCAAUAAAUAUUUAUUUACCUGAAAAAGAGUUUACUUAGAGAUGGGCGAGGUAACAUAUUCCAAUUUUCCUGUCAGAAUAUUUAAGGAUGCCUUCCUAGAAAAUGCAUGCCAUUCCAAUAAGUAAGGUAUGUUCAAAAAAGUCAAGAUGGUGACUACAAUAGUGCGAUUGAAGUACGUACAUUGUAUGUACAUUGCACGUACAUUGCAGAGCUUUGACUGCACUGUAAUCAUCAUUAUCUUGAUCUUUUUGACCAUGACCUGGCAUAGUAAUGGCUGCAGUCUUGGGUUUUUGACCACACCUAUGAAUGUCCUUGAAUUAUACUCGGCACUGUCAGCUUUAUAGUUUAGGGAUCUUCAACUAGGGCUAAAACUACGAGUAAGCACUGUGUUGAGACAAACAAGGUGAGAAGUUUGAAUUGGGCAAUCUCAAUUCAAAUAUCAUCCCAAGUACAAGCCUACUAGGUUUUCCUAAGUGACCCACUGCCAAAUGGGUUUGUAAAGAUUCCCAAUUCUUAAAAAAAAAAAUGAGAAAAAAUUACUAAUUUUCUCAUGGUGGGGAACAAAAGAGAACAAAAAUAAAGGCAUCAGAGUCCAAUAGAUUUUUUAAAAAAAUUAGAUUUGAAAAUGUUAAGAGAAAAAAAAUGAUGGUGCUAAAAAAAUUUUUUUACACCUGCUCAAGCAUGCAAGGUUUGAAAGUUCAGAAAUAACCUUUGCCUUCAUUGGCAAAAAGGUCUUUCAUUUUGAUUGUAGGAAUUCAAAUGUUCA
RNA transcript from Ahaetulla prasina, 3548 nucleotides. It is a transcript of the gene named alpha-L-iduronidase, with no coding region annotated. The record is from RefSeq and is a predicted model, not a curated record. Lineage: Eukaryota; Metazoa; Chordata; Lepidosauria; Squamata; Colubridae. The transcript has 15 exons.